RNAcentral lists this transfer RNA (72 nucleotides) under Anaerolineales bacterium. RNAcentral describes it as "tRNA-Thr". It matches the Rfam family "tRNA". Rfam says of the family: Transfer RNA (tRNA) molecules are approximately 80 nucleotides in length. Lineage: Bacteria; Bacillati; Chloroflexota; Anaerolineae; Anaerolineales. The record is from RNAcentral.
GCCACCUUAGCUCAAUGGCAGAGCAACCGCUUCGUAAGUGGUAGGUUUCGAGUUCAACUCUCGAAGGUGGCU